CGGACGGGUGAGUAAUGUCUGGGAAACUGUCUGAUGGAGGGGGAUAACUACUGGAAACGGUAGCUAAUACCGCAUAACGUCGCAAGACCAAAGAGGGGGACCUUCGGGCCUCUUGCCAUCGGAUGUGCCCAGAUGGGAUUAGCUAGUAGGUGGGGUAAAGGCUCACCUAGGCGACGAUCCCUAGCUGGUCUGAGAGGAUGACCAGCCACACUGGAACUGAGACACGGUCCAG
This 232-nucleotide ribosomal RNA is filed under the name uncultured bacterium. Its description in RNAcentral is "partial 16S ribosomal RNA". It matches the Rfam family "Bacterial small subunit ribosomal RNA", at positions 99 to 334 of the family's 1533-position model. The record is from RNAcentral.